This 482-nucleotide ribosomal RNA is filed under the name uncultured organism. RNAcentral's name for it is "bacterial SSU rRNA". It matches the Rfam family "Bacterial small subunit ribosomal RNA", at positions 28 to 507 of the family's 1533-position model. The record is from RNAcentral.
GACGAACGCUGGCGGCGCGCCUAACACAUGCAAGUCGAACGGAGCUGUUUUCUCUGAAGUUUUCGGAUGGAAGAGAGUUCAGCUUAGUGGCGAACGGGUGAGUAACACGUGAGCAACCUGCCUUUCAGUGGGGGACAACAUUUGGAAACGAAUGCUAAUACCGCAUAAGACCACAGUGUCGCAUGGCACAGGGGUCAAAGGAUUUAUCCGCUGAAAGAUGGGCUCGCGUCCGAUUAGCUAGAUGGUGAGGUAACGGCCCACCAUGGCGACGAUCGGUAGCCGGACUGAGAGGUUGAACGGCCACAUUGGGACUGAGACACGGCCCAGACUCCUACGGGAGGCAGCAGUGGGGAAUAUUGCACAAUGGGGGAAACCCUGAUGCAGCGACGCCGCGUGGAGGAAGAAGGUCUUCGGAUUGUAAACUCCUGUCCCAGGGGACGAUAAUGACGGUACCCUGGGAGGAAGCACCGGCUAACUACGUG